RNAcentral lists this ribosomal RNA (761 nucleotides) under Prevotella melaninogenica. Its description in RNAcentral is "bacterial SSU rRNA". It matches the Rfam family "Bacterial small subunit ribosomal RNA", at positions 28 to 776 of the family's 1533-position model. The record is from RNAcentral. Lineage: Bacteria; Pseudomonadati; Bacteroidota; Bacteroidia; Bacteroidales; Prevotellaceae.
GAUGAACGCUAGCUACAGGCUUAACACAUGCAAGUCGAGGGGAAACGGCAUUAAGUGCUUGCACUUUUUGGACGUCGACCGGCGCACGGGUGAGUAACGCGUAUCCAACCUUCCUAUGACUAAGGGAUAACCUGCCGAAAGGCAGACUAAUACCUUAUGGUCUUCACUGACGGCAUCAGAUGUGAAGUAAAGAUUUAUCGGUUAUGGAUGGGGAUGCGUCUGAUUAGCUUGUUGGCGGGGUAACGGCCCACCAAGGCAACGAUCAGUAGGGGUUCUGAGAGGAAGGUCCCCCACAUUGGAACUGAGACACGGUCCAAACUCCUACGGGAGGCAGCAGUGAGGAAUAUUGGUCAAUGGACGGAAGUCUGAACCAGCCAAGUAGCGUGCAGGAUGACGGCCCUAUGGGUUGUAAACUGCUUUUGUAUGGGGAUAAAGUCAAUCACGUGUGAUUGUUUGCAGGUACCAUACGAAUAAGGACCGGCUAAUUCCGUGCCAGCAGCCGCGGUAAUACGGAAGGUUCGGGCGUUAUCCGGAUUUAUUGGGUUUAAAGGGAGCGUAGGCCGGAGAUUAAGUGUGUUGUGAAAUGUAGACGCUCAACGUCUGACUUGCAGCGCAUACUGGUUUCCUUGAGUACGCACAACGUUGGCGGAAUUCGUCGUGUAGCGGUGAAAUGCUUAGAUAUGACGAAGAACUCCGAUUGCGAAGGCAGCUGACGGGAGCGCAACUGACGCUGAAGCUCGAAGGUGCGGGUAUCGAACAGG